GCUCCCAUCGUCUAACGGUUAGGACGCGGCCCUCUCAAGGCCGUAAUACGGGUUCGAUUCCCGUUGGGAGCGCCA
RNAcentral lists this transfer RNA (75 nucleotides) under Deltaproteobacteria bacterium RIFCSPLOWO2_02_FULL_50_16. Its description in RNAcentral is "tRNA-Glu". It matches the Rfam family "tRNA". Rfam says of the family: Transfer RNA (tRNA) molecules are approximately 80 nucleotides in length. RNAcentral also lists the same sequence under 1 other name. The record is from RNAcentral. Lineage: Bacteria; Deltaproteobacteria.